CUAGCCCUAAACUUUGAUAGUGUCACUACUAUCCGCCAGAGAAUUACGAGCGAAAAGCUUAAAACUCAAAAGACUUGACGGUGCCCCAAACCAACCUAGAGGAGCCUGUCCUAUAAUCGAUGACCCACGUUUCACCUCGCCUGCCCUCGCAUUAAUCAGCCAGCCUAUAUACCGCCGCCUUCCCGCCUACCUUGUAAAAGUAGCACAGCAAGCAAAAUAACUCUUUCGCUAGAACGUCAGGUCAAGGUGUAGCUAAUGAGCAGGAAAGAGAUGGGCUACAUUCUCUACUGAUAUAGAUCACAACCACCGGUAUUAUGAAAACAUACCUCAAAGGAGGAUUUAGUAGUAAUUUAGGCAAGAAUUCCUAAAUGAAUCCUGCCCUGGGGCGC
RNAcentral lists this ribosomal RNA (389 nucleotides) under Trachydactylus hajarensis. Its description in RNAcentral is "partial 12S ribosomal RNA". It matches the Rfam family "Bacterial small subunit ribosomal RNA", at positions 796 to 1382 of the family's 1533-position model. The record is from RNAcentral. Lineage: Eukaryota; Metazoa; Chordata; Lepidosauria; Squamata; Gekkonidae.